RNAcentral lists this unclassified non-coding RNA (537 nucleotides) under Hevea brasiliensis (rubber tree). Lineage: Eukaryota; Viridiplantae; Streptophyta; Magnoliopsida; Malpighiales; Euphorbiaceae. The record is from RNAcentral.
CACCACCACCACCACCACCACCUCUUGGACUGGGCAAGAUAAGUGAACAGAAGGGGAUUUUGGGUCCUGGGCCAGCAGAUUUACGUUUCUCAGAGGCACUUUGACCUAGCAAUUGGAAGGAAGCAAAAGGAACAUAAAACACAAGAGGGUUCAAAUCUUGGUAGAGCCUUCUUUGCUCCAUGGUCUUGCCUCCAGCAUUGCAACUCGUAGUUUACUACUUCUCCAACAAGUAUGUUGAGAUGGAUUUUUUCUAAUGCCUUCUCCAUCUCGCGAGCCCAUCUAAUUUGUUACCAGGCUCGUUUGUGACGCCAAACCUUCUUCUUUGUUUGUAAUUUUGUUCUUUGUGUUGGUUAAUUACUGUGAUAUUAACGAUGAUAUUGAUAAUUUAUUACUUUAUUUUGAUUUGUAUAUAUUGGAUUUGCUUUAAAUUUGAUGAUUUAUGUUUAAUUUGUUUUAGUUCUUGUGAUCUGUAAUAUUGGGUUUAUUUCUGUUCUUGUCUGGUUAUUGAAAGUUGAAGAACUGAUGGACCGAACCAAA